This 495-nucleotide ribosomal RNA is filed under the name uncultured bacterium. Its description in RNAcentral is "partial 16S ribosomal RNA". It matches the Rfam family "Bacterial small subunit ribosomal RNA", at positions 28 to 507 of the family's 1533-position model. The record is from RNAcentral.
GACGAACGCUGGCGGCGUGCCUAAUACAUGCAAGUCGAACGCUGAAGGAGGAGCUUGCUUCUCUGGAUGAGUUGCGAACGGGUGAGUAACGCGUAGGUAACCUGCCUGGUAGCGGGGGAUAACUAUUGGAAACGAUAGCUAAUACCGCAUAAUAGCAGUUAUUGCAUGAUAACUGUUUGAAAGGUGCAAUUGCACCACUACCAGAUGGGCCUGCGUUGUAUUAGCUAGUUGGUGGGGUAACGGCUCACCAAGGCGACGAUACAUAGCCGACCUGAGAGGGUGAUCGGCCGCACUGGGACUGAGACACGGCCCAGACUCCUACGGGAGGCAGCAGUAGGGAAUCUUCGGCAAUGGACGGAAGUCUGACCGAGCAACGCCGCGUGAGUGAAGAAGGUUUUCGGAUCGUAAAGCUCUGUUGUAAGAGAAGAACGAGUGUGAGAGUGGAAAGUUCACACUGUGACGGUAGCUUACCAGAAAGGGACGGCUAACUACGUG